Carassius auratus (goldfish) is the source of this 4934-nucleotide long non-coding RNA. Lineage: Eukaryota; Metazoa; Chordata; Actinopteri; Cypriniformes; Cyprinidae. The record is from Ensembl.
GUUUCCCACGCGUCCUGGAAAUCCUGGAAUAUUAAUGACCAAUUUUCCAGUCCCGUAAAACACAUGGAAAAUGAGAGAAAACCUAGAUUGUCCUGGAAAAAAUAUUGUUGUCCUGGAAAUUUUUUUUUUUUUUUUUAAUUGAUAAUUAAAGAAUUGGCCGACAACUGGUUGAAACAAUUAACGUAACAGAAAGGGCUCUGUUCAGAGAUGCUGAGUGUUGACAUGUGAGCUCACUCUGUUUAAGCUCCCUGUGAAGUAUGACGCGGUCUCAUGUUGCCGGUUUUCAGGUGCUAGAAAUUAAGUGGUCGAAUGUUUGCAGCAAAUGUUCACUGGUAUGCAGGUAAUAUUUAAUUAAAUGUUAAUUUUAUAUUUUUUGAUACACAUGUGCAAGGGUUCUGCACGGCGAAUUGCAGCAUGCGUGACGGCAUUUGCCUAAGAAAAGGUUUUCGAUUUGUUAAGUCUAUUUUAUUUAGAAUCGCUGGAACGUCUUGCAUCCCCAUGACAAAUCAGACCCAAACUUCCCAAACCUGUUUUAUGAACGAUAUAGGAAGUGAAAAUGAGAUGCUGACGCAAGGCACAGCGAUAAUUGCAUGUUCAUAGUGCAGCACAGACUUGUUAACAUGAGGCGGAGGCCGGUAGUAUAUAAUAGUACUUAUAUAAACGUAAUAAAGGCACGUUUGCUAUUGUACUAUUGUCUGUUUGCUCUGUUUCACCAACCUAGUAGUUCCAAACAGACGUUUCUCUUAGCAACAUACUCGGACCAUAGACCGUAUAAAAACCAUGAUAAAAACAGUGUCGGACGCAUGACGCUAGAGGGCUGCCGUUGCCAGCAGUGAGUCUGAGCCAAUCACAAAGUUCGAAACGACUGACGCACAUACGUCAUGUAGCCUACUUGCAGGCCUACGUGACGCGCGAGUCGUGAAUCAACCUAUGGAAUCAACUGAUGUUGUGUCUAAAUGAACUCCCUACGUGAUUUCCCAAGAUUGUCACGCUGCGAAAUGUAUGAAGAAAUGUCAGUAGAAAGAAACUGGACGGACACCGAGACGAGGGCGCUGCUGUACAUCCGACAGGACGAAGACAUUAAUAGACAAAUCAGCGGAACGGUUCGCGACUCUCUUAUUUACGCUGAAAUAUCAAGGCUUCUCCGCGCGCAAGGGAUCCACAGAACCAAGCGGCAGGUCACCACCAAACUGAAAACACUCAAGCAGAAGUUCCUGAAAAUACACGCGCAUCACAAAAACAACGGCCACGGCAGAGUGUACUGGAAUUAUUAUGACCUCUGCAAGUCCAUCUGGGGCAGCAACCGCCCCGCAGACGCUUUAACACUUGAUAGAAACGUGAAGCUCGAAGAGCCGCAGAGUACGUCCAUCGACGACGCGCGGAAUGAGCGCAGAUCCACGGACAUCGAGGAGGUGUCUGUCAGUCACGACGAGGAGACGGAUGACAUGACAGACGUGGUCGCUCAACCUGUGAGGAAGAAGGCCAAAAAAUGUUCCGUUACCGACUCUGUGAGAGCUCAAGAACCUCUCCACAUGCAAAACCAGAGGGAGUACGAGGAACGAUUGCGAAGGGAAGCCAGAGAGGAACAGAAGGAGGACCGGACGAGUCUGAUGGCCAUGUGGAAGGAGAUGAUGGAGUUUCAAGGGAACCUCUUAAAGGAGUUCAUACACCGCCCAUCUCUGCCUUCACAUCCAUCGUACCACAGAUAUGCUCUUCACAACCAAGUACACUCUAGUUUUCCAAGCACUAGCUACAUGCCACCGUACGACUCUCCAGGAGCUGAAACUGAGAAUGAAAGUGCAAUCUCACAUGAAGAAGAAGAAGAAGAGGAGGAGGAGGAAGAGAAAUAUGUUAUUCCAGCUGAGAUUGCACCUGUUAACCGUGGAAACGACAGCCAAUCAAACACCGCAGAGACUGUUUCCCCCCCGCCUACCCAAUCAGCAGGAAAGAGCGAUCUGGAGAUGUCUGUGCUACGCAGACAGGAAAGAGUCUUACAGCUUCAGGAAGAGUACUAUUCACUCAAAAUCAACUAUCUGAAACACAAGAUGGCCAAGGAUCCAUGACGGCAUGCUAAAGAGGAGUCUUUCAAGGUGUGAAAACUUGCAAAUGUAGAUGUUCUCAGCUGAACUGUGGAACCUAUUCGUGUGUAUUUGUCUGCGCACCUGAUAUUCCUUGUGAAUCUUAUUACAUAUUUUGACCAGAAGAUGGCAAGGUGGUUACUUCAAAUUUCCUGCUGUCAUCAUUAGACAUGUGCAAGACAGAUUUCAUUUUUAUUGCAAUUUACUAGCAGUUGUCUUUGAGGCAAUAUUUAGCAAAAUUGUCUCCAUUUUCUCAACUAAAUGUUACUGGUCUUUAUUAUAAAUGGUUCAUUAGUUUAUUUAAAGCUGCAGUUGGUAACUUUUGACGCUCUAGCGGUUAAUAAACAGAACUGCUUGCGUCUUGCGGAAGAACAUCGUAGCCAGAACUACUUCUCUCUGUUUAUGUCAAUGAAGAAGUUACACUUCUGAUGUGGACUAUGUCUGUUACUAUUAUUUUUCAUUAAAUUAAUGAAAACCAGCGAGGAGUCAGAAAUGUAGUAUUAAAAAUACUAAAUCAAAAGCAAAACUCUUUUCAAAGAAUUGUUUAAAGCAGGGGAUUCCCAAACUCUUUUGUCAGUCGAACCCCCUUUGAACUAAAAUAUUUUCUUGAGAUUUUAAUUUAUUUUAAGAUUGUUUGUUCACAGUUCUGUGAUGUCAGUUAGUGGUCACAGUGCAUGCAGGUAAACAAAUAACAUAUAUAUAUAUAUAUAUAUUUUUUUUUAAGGCAUCUUAUUUAAUUGUUUUAAUAAAUAUUGGCUUUACAUUAUCUCACAACCCUCUGCAGUUAUUUUGCGUUUAAAGGAACAAUUCAUCUGAAUACAAAAAAAAAAAAAAAGACAAAUCUGUUGUUCUGAACCCUUAUGCUGUUAUUUGUUCUGUAAACCGCUCUUCCAACUUCUGUCAAGCUUUAAAAGGGACCAAAAGCACACAAGUCCUUUGGAGUAUUUUGUGUUCCCUUAUGUCUGUCAAACUCUAAAAAGGCCUUUUCUGAGCUUGACAGCCCCGGAUCACUGUGAACUGUCAGUGUGUGGCAAGAGCUGUGAAACGGUUCUUCCAAAAUGUCUACAUCGGUGUUUCACAGAAAAUAAAAAAAAGCAUACAGGUUUGGAAUAACGUGUAAAUAAUGACAGAAUUUCCAUUCUAUGGGUUAUGCUAUAGCUCCAAAAGUUCCAGCUAUAUAGUUUUUUUUUUUAUCCUUUAGUGUUCUUUUCUGUUUAUUAUCACUCUCUUUCUCUUGUAUUUCCACUUCCAUCUCUGUUGUUCCCAGUCUCCGUCCUGCUAUUACUUCUCACAUGAAGACAUUAUUUAUACGACAGAUGUGUUUUUUGUUCAGUGUUUUUGUUUUAAAAUAAUGUGUGAUGCCAAAUUGGCUGGGGUUUUCACUUUCUUCCUUGUUGAUUGAUCAUCUUUUGUGAUGAAAGUGUAUAGAUCUGAACAUGAAGGUAAAAAAAAAAAAAAAAACUGGAUUUCCAAUUAUAAGGAAUGUUUUGGAUAAAUCAAAAUAUAGAGCUUAUAUCUAUAACAUGCUGUUGAUUAUAUAAACAAAUAUACAUUAAAUAAAAUGUAUUUGAAGCAGAUGCUUUUAUUCAAAGCAACUUAUAUUGCAUUUAAUCAUGCAUUUAAUAAAAAUGCACAUUUUAUCAAGUUAAUGCGAAGAAUUGAACCGAUGAUCUCCGUUGUUGAUGCUCGCUCUACUGUUUGGGUUAUAGGAAUGGAGCUAAUCAUUCUGAAUUGUCCUUAAAUUUGUAAAAACAAGCUACAUUUGGUCAGUAAUGCAUUACCAGUAGUAUAUACAGUAUAUAUGUUUAAAGAAUUAAUGUAAGUACUUUAAAAACUAAAAUAUGAGCUGCAUAUUUCAUCCUUUUGUGCCCAAAAAAAGUUUAUUUAUCAGCAUCUGUGGUUCCUUGGAGAACUUUUUGCAUCCAUGGAACCUUUGCAUUGCACAAAAGGAAAAAGGUUCUUUAGAUUUUUAAAUUGUCCUUUACACUAUGAAAAAAAAGAGGUUCUUUUAAUAACUGUUCACUGAAAUGUUCUUGGGGAACCCGAAAAUAGUUUUCUGUAAUCACUGUUAAAAGCCCUUUGGAAGCUUUAUUUGUAAGAGUGCACCGGUUUAUUCACUCCAUAAUAUACAUAAAUUGUAAAUAUGCUGUACACUUUUUCCUUUAACAGAUUAGAUGACAUUUGUCUGUGGUAAUCAAUUAAAUGCCACAAAUGGCAUUCACAGAUAAGUUUUAUUGAACUUUUACAAUUGAAAAGUCUGUUGGAAGCAUUACGUCUGCAGCAGAAAGCACAUAUUGUAUCCUUAAAGUAUUUGUCAGGGCUUCAUAAAACACAGCAUAUCCAAGGGGCUUUUUGAUAAAGCCAAAUGUUCUAUGAAAUGACACCCCUGUGAAAGCAGAAAGUAAUUAAUAAAUAACUGGAAUAAAUAUAUAAGAACCUCACAAGAGUUCUCCUGUGGUUUUUAAGUGAGAGGCUGAUGAGAAAUGCCACACAUAAUGGGCAUGAUUUUCUGUGAAGCAGCUGCUCUCAGGGUCUUGCUGAGUGGGACUACACUUAACACUUCCCUCCUGGGUGAAAUGUCGACCUCGGACUCAGAGAGAUGACUGUUACCAAGUGCUGCAGUCAAAAUGAAAACACUGAGACUCUUCAGAUCCUUUAGAGUCAGGGUAGACUCUGGAUGUUCUGCACAGUUAAACCCAAAUCUCGUUGAUAUUCUUUUAGAAAAAUACAUUCAUAGGCUUCUGUACUCAGAGUGAUUUCAGCUUUGUGGAGUUAUUGUGAAUUUAUGCCUCGUUUAAAGGAAAUUCCCAGGCAAACACUUGAAAGUAAACGCUUACAUUGUGGGAAUGCAUAUUC